Quercus robur (English oak) is the source of this 2807-nucleotide long non-coding RNA. RefSeq lists it as uncharacterized. Lineage: Eukaryota; Viridiplantae; Streptophyta; Magnoliopsida; Fagales; Fagaceae. The record is from RefSeq and is a predicted model, not a curated record. The transcript has 2 exons.
CUCCGCCCCUCUCUCAUCCCUCAAAGUCUCUGCAUCUCUCUUUUUUCUUUUUUUUUUUUUUUUUUUUUUUUGACAAUUCGAAAGCUACAAGGAAGAGAGAAGAUGAUGAUGAUGAUGAAGAAGAUGAAGAUGAUUGAGUUAUGGGUUUGUAUUUGAUUUUGAUUUUGGGUUUGGGUUAUGGGUUUUCAGUUAAUGGUUUAAUUUUGAGUUAAUUUUCUGUGGAUUUUGGGUUUGAUUUUGAGUUGAUUUUGUUUUAGGUUGAUUUUGAGUUGGGUUUGGGAUGGGUUUUCCAAUGGGGUUUGAGUUGAUUUUAAGUUGUUUUUUGUUGAUUUUGAGUUAUUUUUUGUUUGAUUUUGUUGAUUUUGUUUUUGAAUUAUCAAAUGUUGAAAUGAGUUUUGUUGAUUUUGUUGAUUGUGGUGGUAGACCGGUGAUAGUUGGGUGGUGUUGUGUUUGUAGCAACACGGAGAGGGUAGAGCAGAGAGAGGAGAUGAGAGGAAUUGAAGUGUAAUUUGGUAAUUGCCUGAAGAGUCCAACGGAUAGCUAAGAAUGCGCAUAGACUUUUUCUAAAAUGGACCUCUAGAACUCCAUAAUGGCUUGCACGUUCUUAGCGUUGGCCCAAAACGCAACUUUUUCCAAAAAGUUGCGUUUUAUGCUUAACCAAAUGGGUUUUCCACUCCAGCUUUCUUCAAAACGGGCUUUUUGGGUCCAAAACGUUAAAACAAACGGGCACAAAGAGAAUCUACAUUUCUCCUUAAACUCUCUUUUGUCUCCAGCUCUAUUUCUCAAUUCCUUUAUUCUUUUUUGUGCUUCUAUUGCUUCCGUAAUUUCUUUUCAUAGUAUAGUCUAUUAGUCUUAGCAAUGGAUUCAGCUUCGAGUACAAUUUCGAAGUUCAAAUGCUACUUCAAGUCUGAACGCAGCAGAACCACUUUUGUAACUUCUUCUUGUCCAAUAUGUCAAAUCUGAUGACAGUCAAGUUUGAUCCCAGCAAUUAUAUUAAGGGUCCGGUUAAUAUAUGCCUUAAUAAAUCUGUUUUUGGAAAAAAUUUAUCGAAAAUUGAAAAAAUUGUCAAAACUUUUUCAAUUCCCAAUAAAACUUUUUCUAAAAAUGGUAUACUAUUGUUUGCCCUUAGGACACACGUUAGUAAAAUCCUUAUAUUAAUUGGAAGCAUCAUAGUAACUUCCAUGCUUAGCAGUUAGCACCUACUCACUGCUUGAGCAUGUGGCUAGAACAGUGGUUCCACCUCCUCAAUAUCUCAAGGAUUUAGAUGGUAAUCAAUUGAGGGUCUUGAAUCCAGAAUUUCAUAUUUGGAAAGUCAAAUAUCAAGAAUUAAUAACCCUUAUAAAAACUCAACCUUGUCACCUACUAGGCUACUACAUUAGCUUUGAUGGUAGGACAGAAAACUGCAAUAUCAGUUCGGCUUACUCUGAAGAAUAGGUACACUUUUAUUCUAUAAUUCGUACCAGUAUUCUCAAAUCUUAGAUUUGAGAUUCACACUGUAAGAAAGGAAAAUGAUUCAGUUGCAAGUUACUUCUAAAAAAUCAGGGAAAUUAAAGAUAAGCUUGGAGCUGUGGGAAUUGAGAUAGAAAAUGAGGAAAUGCUCUACAUUGUGUCGAAGGGUCUGCCUAAGGAAUGUAAUCUUUUUUCCCCAACCAUUCGAACUAGAAACAAAGUUCUCGCGUUUGGGCAACUUCAGGUUCUUUUAGAAGCAGAAGAAACUUCUUUGAGAGGUGACAAGUGCAAGGACUGAUACACCAUGGCCAUGCUUGCUACAGCAGGUCAUAAGCCAUAAGUCUAUUCUCUAUUCCUCCUCCCAAUCCACACUCAAAUAGAGGCAGGGGCGGAGGCUAUAAUAAUAGUCAGAGAUUGAAGAGACAUUCCACAGCAAGGCUCUCCACAGAAUCAUCAAUUCAGUCCAGGUAAUAACAGUAGCUUUCAGGCUAAGAAUCAGUUUGUCAAAUCCGUGGCAAAACGGGAUACUUGGCUAUUGAUUAUUUCCAUAUAAUGGACCACUCAUAUCAAGAUUUGAGCAACUUGACUAUGCAACAACCUUAAGGUGUAACUGAUCAGGUCAUAGUAGGUAAUGGUUCUUCUCUACUUAUAACACAUGUAGGUACUGGUCAAUUACACACACACAAAUUUAAGCCUACACUCAUCCUUGGAGAGUUAAGUCCUAUACAUUUCUUCAAAAUUUCACUCAUAAGUUAUGUAAAGAUAAUCAAAUUUUCUCUCACUCAAUCCAAAUAUGCAUAAGACAUCCUACAAAGAUACAAUAUACAAACUUGUAAACCUUGCUAAUCACUCUGCUUACCAGGCCAAGACUCAAUCCUCAUGAGAGCAUUCCUCUCAAUGAUCCUGGUCCUUUUUGAGGCAUGGUUGGAGCACUCCAGUGUCUAACCUUUAUUAGAUCUUACCUUGCUUUUGCAAUUCAUAAAGUCUUUUUAAGUUUAUGAGUGCCCCUACUAAUUUUCAUCUUCAAGCUUUGAAACAAAAUUUUCGUUACCUUCAAGGAACUCUGCACCAUGGUUUUUGUUAUACUCGUGUCCCAUUGGUUAUUUUUGCAUUUACUUAUGCAAAUUGGGCAGGUGAUCCAUUUGAUAGGAUCUCAGCCUCUGGGUUUAUUAUCUUUCUUGGCCAAAAUCCCAUUGUCUGGUCUGCAAAGCAGUAAGCCACAAUGUCCCAAUCCUUCACUAAUGCAGAGUAUUCAAAUUAAGUUUGGUUUCAACUCUAAUCAAUUAGCUGACAUCUUCACCAAGGCUUUGCCCUCCUCGUUUCCUUGAUCUUCAAUCCAAACUCAUAGUGCCUCUCUC